Meleagris gallopavo (turkey) is the source of this 422-nucleotide non-coding RNA. The record is from RefSeq and is a predicted model, not a curated record. Lineage: Eukaryota; Metazoa; Chordata; Aves; Galliformes; Phasianidae.
UCUUGCUGGAGAUCCCUGACUACCUGAGGCCUUCCAAAGUAUUGGACACAGAAGAAUGUGCACAAUAGCUCUUUGGUCCAACCCAGCAUGGGUGUUAUUUCUCCAUAAGAUCCUGUUCUCUUCAACAAGAGCAGAAGGGGCACUUCUACCUUUCCCUCACACUUCGUGGUAAAUGAGAUUAGACAAUGGUUUGCAUGUCACGCCAGGCAAGCUCUGCGCUCAGACUUGGGUCUCACUGCGGGACGUGAACAAAUCAUCAGCAAGAGCCCAGGCACAGCUCAGGCAGCACCACGGUGCCGGUACCAGCGGGCUCCGGUCUCACCCGUUCUCCCUUUCAGCCGCCCAAGGCGUCAAACAGCCCGUUUCUGCGGCCGCGCUGCCCUGGGGCGGCUCCCGGGGCUGGGCGGUACGGUGCAGCCUGG